Non-coding RNA from Myodes glareolus (Bank vole), 794 nucleotides. NCBI's taxonomy places the organism in Eukaryota, Metazoa, Chordata, Mammalia, Rodentia, Cricetidae. The record is from RefSeq and is a predicted model, not a curated record.
GUAAAAGACACAGAAAUCAGUAUGGAAUUGAUGACUUGAAACUCAACAUAAAACAAGCCUACCUGUUGUUCUCUCUUUGCUUUGAGGCAACCAGGAGGCCUCUGUGUGAUUCUUUGGGACUGAACAGCAGUGGCACUGGGCGAGAUGGAAACCUCUUUCAACAGGCUUUCUCUGGGAAAUAAGUUCAGAAGUGAACUUAUGUCCAUGGAGAGUUCUCUUUGUGAAACACAAGAUGAAAUGUUAUAGAUUCUCAAAGAUAAAAUGAGACUUGAAGGACAACUGGAGGCUUUGUCAUUAGAAGCCAGUCAGGACUGCCACAGCAGAGUACCACAGACUAGAUGUCUUAAUCAACAGAACUUUACUGACUUCACCUACUUGGAGUCUGGCAACCAGUGUCAAAAUACCGCUGACCUUCGUGUAUUUGAUGGAUGGGAACCACUAUCCACGCAAAAUUCACGGAAGCUUUGAAGUAAACAGUGCUGGUCCAUCAUGUGCAACAUUGCAUAUCCUCUACUGCAGGCCCAAAACUAUGGGGCCAGGGAACCAUGGACUACAAUCCCAGCAACUGUGAGUCAUGAAACUCUUCCUGUGUGAAGGCUUAUUUGUCUUAGCUAUGCGUCAUGAAUUUCUAACAUGAUACAUUAACAACUGCAACACAUUGUGAGUCUGUGUUGGCUAAGGAAAGACAUUAUAUGUAUAGUUCCCAGACCCUUGAGGUAAUAACUUCUUGUUGUGUUGUCUCUGACAGAAGAAGGAAAGAAGUGGAACAACCCAUAGGUCAGUGUUAUCCUCAG